GGGCCCGUAGCUCAGUCAGGAUAGAGCGGCGGCCUUCGGAGCCGCAGGUCCCGGGUUCAAGUCCCGGCGGGCCCG
Molecule: transfer RNA, 75 nt
Filed under: Thermoprotei archaeon
Lineage: Archaea; Thermoproteati; Thermoproteota; Thermoprotei
Description: tRNA-Arg
Rfam family: tRNA
About the family: Transfer RNA (tRNA) molecules are approximately 80 nucleotides in length.
Source: RNAcentral